Molecule: ribosomal RNA, 416 nt
Filed under: uncultured bacterium
Lineage: Bacteria
Description: bacterial SSU rRNA
Rfam family: Bacterial small subunit ribosomal RNA
Source: RNAcentral
CGGCAGCCAUGCCGCGUGUGUGAAGAAGGCCUUCGGGUUGUAAAGCACUUUCAGUAGGGAGGAAGGUAGUGUAGUUAACACCUGCAUUAUUUGACGUUACCUACAGAAGAAGCACCGGCUAACUCCGUGCCAGCAGCCGCGGUAAUACGGAGGGUGCGAGCGUUAAUCGGAAUUACUGGGCGUAAAGCGCAUGCAGGCGGCCUGUUAAGUCAGAUGUGAAAGCCCGGGGCUUAACCUCGGAAUUGCAUUUGAAACUGGCAGGCUAGAGUCUUGUAGAGGGGGGUAGGAAUUUCAGGUGUAGCGGUGAAAUGCGUAGAGAUCUGAAGGAAUACCAGUGGCGAAGGCGGCCCCCUGGACAAAGACUGACGCUCAGAUGCGAAAGCGUGGGGAGCAAACAGGAUUAGAUACCCUGGUAG